Long non-coding RNA from Neofelis nebulosa (Clouded leopard), 3868 nucleotides. RefSeq lists it as uncharacterized. The record is from RefSeq and is a predicted model, not a curated record. Lineage: Eukaryota; Metazoa; Chordata; Mammalia; Carnivora; Felidae. The transcript is spliced from 2 exons.
UUAAAGAAAAAUAUUUUUAAUAAAAAUUGAAAAUAAAAAUGAAUUUUUUCCCUUUCUGUUUUCAAGAAAAAGAAAAGAAACAAAAAAGAGAAGAAAAAAGAAAAUUGAAUAGAUGGACCUGCUAACAGAUUGAAAUACGACUGAAAUUACUUCGUUUUCCUGUAGAAGGCAGACUACGAAGUGCUUUAUAGUCCAUAAACCAAGCUGGUGGUGAGCCUUGUGUUCUUGAAGAGCGAAGUUGGCCCAGUUGGGCGGGGCUCGCUGUAACAGCUCCGCUCUCCACCAGAUGGCGCUGCUAGCCUACUGGGGUGGAGUGUUGCAGCACCAGCGAAUGUGGCCGUUCUCUGGGGUCUUCUGCGACCAGGUGGCCUCAACAGUCUCUACCAAAUGUUCUUCCAGCAGUGGAACCACUUUUUCCCGUGUGGCCCAAGAACCUCCCGGACUCCACUCUGCUCCUGGGGAUUCACACUUCCGACCCGAGCACCACCAGGUAUGGAGCUGUGGAGUUUCAGACUCUGCAUUCCCCUUGUUUACAGUCUUAAUGGAAUUUAAACCCUCGCCUUUCUCCUGUUUUAGUUCAGUCCCUGUGGCUGUUUCUAAUUUUCUGCUUUCUCUCCAGCUGCUUUUGGGGAAGGGUGCUUUUCCUGUUUUCUCCCCCCUCCCCGGUCUCCGUCCUCUCUCUGCCUGCAGAAGCACCUCCCUUCCCGCGGUUUCUCUCUCCCCCAGUUCAGCUCUCCGCGCUGCAUCCCUGCUGAAUUCUGUGGUUCAGGUUGUGCAGAUUGUUGUGUUAGUCCUCCAAUCAGUUUUCUAGGUGUGCAGGAUGGUUUAGUGUUGGUCUGGCUGUAUUUCAUGCAUGCGAGACACACAAAAAACUUCCAUGCUGUUCCGCCAUCUUGGCUCCCUCCCUCCCCUUCUUGUUUUUGUUUGUUUGUUUGUUUUUGUUUAUUUUUUUAUGUUAGAGAGAGAGAGAGCGAGAGCGAGUGCAUGGAUGUGCAUGUGCGCAUAAGCAGGGAAAGGGCAGAAAGAGAGAGGGAGAGAGAGAAUCCCAAACAGGCUCAGGACUGCCAGCAAGGAGCCCAACGUGGGGCUUGAACUCUCCAACCAUGAGAUCAUGACCUGAGCCGAGAUCAAGAGUCUGACACUUAACUGACUGAGCCGCCCGGUUGCCUAUCUUUUUGUUUCUCUCUCUCUUUUUGAUAGUUUAUCUUCAGUUUAUCUGGGGGAAUGGGGAGUAGAUGGUUCCAGGCCCCUGUGCCCACUCUGAAGACCACUGUGGCUCAGGGGACCUGGCUUCCUGCCUCUAGGGGUAAAGCAAUAGUUCUAAGCAUAAGGGAAGGGAGACAAAUGUCUCAGAUGAGAUGACUGCUCAGGCAUUGCUCAGAAUGACUCUGGAGGCCUAAGCCCUCUAUUCUUGAGCCUCCUGUUCUCUCCCCACUUCCUGUCCCACUCACCCCUUCUCAGUGCUUCUGGGGCCCCUCCCACUUUUGGAGGAACCCAAAUGAAGACCCCUGUCCCAGUUUAGCUCUCUGAAAACAUCCCAGGUUAGUGUUUUUCUGGGAAAAAGCUGUUAAUUAGGCAGCAUUUCUGAGGCCCAGGGUGAUGGCAUGGCUGUUUUGAUGCAAGGACCGGGGGGGGGGGACCCCCAUCGCAGUAGAAGUUCCCCACUGGGAAACUACCUUCCUGGUGUGAGGAGUGUGGUGUCUGCUCCUGUCUUGGUUCAGGGUGGACAGAGCCAAUCGAUCAUGGCGGCCAUCUCCUUAGAACUCACACCUACCUUGGCUGUUUUCAAAAGGCCAUUGUUGGUCUCCGGGUCCGUGGUGACAGUGUAGAGGCCUGCUCUGUCUUUCAGGAUGGAAAACACUGCCUUCCAUGCUGGAGAGCCUGGGGCAUCUUCUCUCUUCACCUUCAGUCUCACUAUCCCUGCAUCCACCUUGUUUUCAAACACCUGGCCCGUGUACUGCAAGAGAAGGACACAGACACUCAUUCCUGACAUCCUGUGUGGGGACCUGGGAAGCAGCCUGUGGCAGCCUCAAGGGAUCUUCAGCAGGAUGGGCCAUGAUAGAAGGGUCUUUUCUUGAAGCGGGUGUCUGUUGGCCUGAGCGACAGUGAGGGGCACCUGCAAAGGCCCUGCUCAGUACCCUGGAUGUGUGCGUCAGCGGUGGGGCUUCCACCAGCUCAGUGGCUACUUUCACUCUGUGCCAAAGGGACGGGAAAGGUGAAACCAUGUCGCCUAGCUCCUGAAGCUUGGAUCCCAAAGUGUGCAUCAGCCUAGGAGGAUAUGUCCCCAUGGCCAAGUGUAGCCAUUCCAGGCUCUGUUCUCAGGUUGCAGCCACCGUGAGAAGCUCCUCAGAUCCCAGCUGAGGCCAUUAGCCCCGCAGGCUCAGGAGCCAAGCGAGAAGUUGGACCUAGAGUGGCUCCUCCAGCCUGUCCCCCGCACCUCGCUGUCAGGUCACUUCUGACUCAGUCUCCAUGGGGAGCAAGUGUCUCCGUCUUACAUCUUGCACACGAGACUGUUAGGAGGGCUCUGCUGGAAUACCUUCCAGGCUCAGGUGUGACCCUGACUCCAGCCCUAGUCACCUUGGGAGGGACGCUGGGCUUAUUGCCCAGGACUCUGUGGAUGAUAUGGUAACGUCUACAACUGUCUCUACAUUUCGGUUAUAGGGAAUUCAGGCAUGUGAGCCUCUGCUGUUCUCUGUCUCUUUGUAUCCUGGCAUACCUGUCUUGGGAACAAAGGACAGAGAAGGAUGGGCUUCCUAAUUGUAGCACGUCCAGCAAUGGGUUCAAAAGAGUUAACUCAAUUAUUUUUCGGAUACAUCUUCCAGAGUAGAGACAGUGUGCUCUCCGAGGCCAGACUGGUUCCAAUUCCAGCCUAUGAAUGAAUUCCUAUUAGCACCUUCCUGUACGUUAUUUACUGUGGUCCUCAUAUACCCCCAGAGGACAAAAUCACUGCCCCCCCUUUCCAUAGAUGAUAAACACAGGGAGGUCAGACAACUUCUUCUCCAUUCAACAAGGCUAACUGAUCUGUAUUGCUGUCAGGGUAGCACCAGUGGGAGCAGACAGACCCUAAUCUGUACUGCAGUUUAGGAGAUCAGGGCUACUGUCACCUCUGAUUUUGGUGAGGGGCACAGAAACACUAAGGUCACAGCUACAGGACUGAGAAGGGGAUGCUUGGGACCUAAAUCCAAGGCCCACUGCCUUGAGCACAUCCCUGGACUUUAUGCCAAGGGUCUGGCCCAUUUCCCCUGAGAGAAAGCAGCUCAGAGCCUGGGGCUCUAGACACCCAGGUGACCACCCUGUCACCAUUCCCGGUGGCCUGAGCAGGGCCAGCCCAUGGAAUCCAGACCCCACGUCCCUGGGCUUAAGCCAGGUGACCACCAAACAGGUAGGCCUUGGUUAAACCCUUCAAGGCCUGCAGGCUUUGCCUGGAACCUUCCUCAUGACUCUCCUAUGGCAUUGGGCUGCUUAAGAGUGGGCAAGGGGGUCCAGCCUAAUGGGGUCAGUGCCAGUCAUUCUGUUAUUCUCACUGUGUGAUGCCCUGCUCUGUAAUCCCUGCUACCUAAACAAAUUCCAGCCAGGGGUGGCCACAUACCACGUUCUGGCUGGUGGGGUCAAAGUGCAAGUCUACCUGGUGGAGGUUAUGGUAAAAAGACACCAGGCAUGGCUCUCGAUCUCUUCCCUCCCUCUUCUAACUGGAUCAGUGGUCUGGUAUAGCAGCCACCACGAAGACAAAACUCACAAGCUAAGGAAGAUGGAACAAAAAGAAGGAAUCUGUGUCCCUGUGUUGCCGCUUGGUGUGCCCGGAAGCUGGGGCCUUCUGUGUCUGGAUUGUGUUACAUAGAGCAAUAACCCAGUCAUGGUUUUAAGCCAA